This 626-nucleotide long non-coding RNA is filed under the name Gallus gallus (chicken). Its description in RNAcentral is "long non-coding RNA NONGGAT002058". Lineage: Eukaryota; Metazoa; Chordata; Aves; Galliformes; Phasianidae. The record is from RNAcentral.
CUGCCCCUGCCUGUGUUAUUGUAUCCAUUUUCCAACGCCAACGAUGUGUGAAAUGAAAAUUGGACAGAGCUGGCUGCUCACAGCGCCGGAGCCCGGCGUGCCGGGGGGCAGCGGGGAGGGGGCGCAGGGGAUGGGGGCCCUCGCUGUCCCCCCCUCAGCCACUGCCCCCUUACCAGGGCCGUCUGCGCACGUCAUACAGGUCGAUCUUAUUGGGUGCUCUCCAUGGGGUGGCUGUGGGGAAAGGCAAGCGAUGAGCAAAGGGGGACCCGGGGACAGGGGACCGGGGGCAGGGGGUGCCCGUGUCACACACCAGGGUAGUAGCGGGUGACGCCGGUGGCGCUGCCGAAGACCUGCCAGAGCAGGGAGGGGUCUUCCUUGCGGUUCUCAAUGAAGACGUCCUCCAGCGCCUGCGUCCAGUUCAGCUCGUUGAGGAUCACGGUGGCUCCUUUGUAGAUGUCAGUGGGGAUCUGCACGGCAGCAUAUGAGUAGUUAACCUUGGUCUUGAAGUUGGCAUCGUCGGUGAACUCCAGCUUAAGGGAGUUGGAUUUCUCCCGCUCGAUUUCUUCCCCAUCGGGAUCAUCCUGGGGAGGGAGUGGGGUCAGUGGGACGUGCCCUGGGUACCUCUG